GCAUAACGCGAAGAACCUUACCUGGCCUUGACAUGCACGGAAGCUUCCAGAGAUGGGAGUGUGCCUUCGGGAACCGUGACACAGGUGCUGCAUGGCUGUCGUCAGCUCGUGUUGUGAAAUGUUGGGUUAAGUCCCGCAACGAGCGCAACCCUUAUCCUUUGUUGCCAGCGGUUCGGCCGGGAACUCAAAGGAGACUGCCAGUGAUAAACUGGAGGAAGGUGGGGAUGACGUCAAGUCAUCAUGGCCCUUACGAGUAGGGCUACACACGUGCUACAAUGGCGUAUACAAAGAGAAGCGACCUCGCGAGAGCAAGCGGACCUCAUAAAGUACGUCGUAGUCCGGAUUGGAGUCUGCAACUCGACUCCAUGAAGUCGGAAUCGCUAGUAAUCGUAGAUCAGAAUGCUACGGUGAAUACGUUCCC
This 421-nucleotide ribosomal RNA is filed under the name uncultured bacterium. Its description in RNAcentral is "bacterial SSU rRNA". It matches the Rfam family "Bacterial small subunit ribosomal RNA", at positions 954 to 1375 of the family's 1533-position model. The record is from RNAcentral.